This 254-nucleotide ribosomal RNA is filed under the name uncultured bacterium. RNAcentral describes it as "partial 16S ribosomal RNA". It matches the Rfam family "Bacterial small subunit ribosomal RNA", at positions 524 to 776 of the family's 1533-position model. The record is from RNAcentral.
UACGUAGGGGGCAAGCGUUGUCCGGAUUUAUUGGGCGUAAAGAGCGUGUAGGCGGCCAUACAGGUCAGCUGUGAAAACUCGAGGCUCAACCUCGAGACGUCGGUUGAAACCGUAUGGCUAGAGUCCGGAAGAGGAGAGUGGAAUUCCCGGUGUAGCGGUGAAAUGCGCAGAUAUCGGGAAGAACACCCGUGGCGAAGGCGGCUCUCUAGUACGGUACUGACGCUGAGACGCGAAAAGCGUGGGGAGCGAACAGG